RNAcentral lists this ribosomal RNA (398 nucleotides) under uncultured bacterium. RNAcentral's name for it is "partial 16S ribosomal RNA". It matches the Rfam family "Bacterial small subunit ribosomal RNA", at positions 523 to 918 of the family's 1533-position model. The record is from RNAcentral.
AUACGUAGGGUGCGAGCGUUGUCCGGAAUUACUGGGCGUAAAGAGCUCGUAGGUGGUUUGUCGCGUCGUCUGUGAAAUUCCGGGGCUUAACUCCGGGCGUGCAGGCGAUACGGGCAUAACUUGAGUACUGUAGGGGAGACUGGAAUUCCUGGUGUAGCGGUGAAAUGCGCAGAUAUCAGGAGGAACACCGGUGGCGAAGGCGGGUCUCUGGGCAGUAACUGACGCUGAGGAGCGAAAGCAUGUGUAGCGAAAAGGAUUAGAUCCCCUGGUAGUCCAUGCCGUAAACGGUGGGCGCUAGGUGUAGGGGUCUUCCACGACUUCUGUGCCGUAGCUAACGCAUUAAGCGCCCCGCCUGGGGAGUACGGCCGCAAGGCUAAAACUCAAAGGAAUUGACGGGG